RNAcentral lists this long non-coding RNA (1158 nucleotides) under Sarcophilus harrisii (Tasmanian devil). Its description in RNAcentral is "lncRNA (ENSSHAG00000028832.1)". Lineage: Eukaryota; Metazoa; Chordata; Mammalia; Dasyuromorphia; Dasyuridae. The record is from RNAcentral.
CCUACCCAAAUUAAUUUAAAAAUUAAUAGCAAUACCAACUAAAAAAACUCCCUAUUUCUGCUGAGGGAAGGAAAGGCUCACAAACUCGAUUCCUGACAUUUCCCUUUUCUUCAAUACCCAUAUCCAAUCAGUUACGAAGUCUCUAAUUCCACAUCUUUUGCAUUCAUCCUCUUCUCUUCAUUUAUAUGAACACUAAUCUAGUUCAAGCAAUCAGUACCUUCUGCCUAGACUAUUAAAAAGGCCUUCCCCAACAUCCUCCACGUUUCUCGGCUUUCAUCUUUUCAUUCUCCACACACUGAUAAAGCAUUUAACUGCUUAGUAUGUGCUAGGUACUGAACUCAGUGCUAGUGAUAUAAAUACAACUACCAAGACAGUGCCUGACCUCAAAAUGCUUAAAUUCUAUUGGGGGGAUAACAACACAUUUAAGAGAAGUUUGAAAGUGGGGCUGGAGGAUAUGUGCUUUACCAAAAGUGGAACAUUAAGGGGAAGUACCACAAGAGGCCCAGCAAGAUAAGGUAAAAAGAUAAGGAGAACUGAAAGACUCAGGGGCCGACUUCCAAUUUACCAUUAGAGAGGAAAUAGGGGGUGAUGCUCCGAGUGAAGGUAGGAUGGUUUGGAAUAUUUGGAAGUGCCAAAAAAAAAUUCUUCCUAAAGCAUAAGGUUCCUAAAGCAAAAUUCUUUAGUAGUUCCUUAAUGCCUCCAAGAUUAAAAGGUAAACUCCUUAGAUUAACAUUUAAAUCCCUUCACAAUCUGGCUCUAACUUAUUUUUUCCAAAUUUAUUAUUGCCUAUGUUACUUCCCUUCAUUCAAUUCAACAAACAUGUAUUAAGUAUAUACUAUGAGUAAGGCAUUGUUCCAAGCCCCAGAAAUAAAAAAAAUAAAUUCCUCAACUGGGAAAUGGCUAAAAUAAAUUGUAGUACAUGAAUGCUGUAGCAGUAAUAUUCCAUGAGAAAUAAUGAUGAAAGAGUUGAUUUUAUGGAAUCUUGGGAAGUAUAAAGUGAUGUAGAAUGAAUUGAACAGAACCAGAACAAUUUAUACAAUGACAAUAUUGUAAAUUUUUAAAAAUAAAAUAAAAACUAAGAAUGCUGAUUAAACCAUGACCAACCAUAUUCCAGACGAGUUAAUAAGGAUGCUACCCACUUCACUGAUAAGAAUGCUG